UCCUAGGGGGGGCGGCAGUGGGGAAUUUUGGACAAUGGGGGCAACCCUGAUCCAGCCAUCCCGUGUGUGCGAUGAAGGCCUUCGGGUUGUAAAGCACUUUUGGCAGGGAAGAAAAGGCCCGGGAUAAUCCCUCGGGUUCAUGACGGUACCUGCAGAAUAAGCACCGGCUAACUACGUGCCAGCAGCCGCGGUAAUACGUAGGGUGCAAGCGUUAAUCGGAAUUACUGGGCGUAAAGCGUGCGCAGGCGGUUCGGAAAGAAAUGUGUGAAAUCCCAGGGCUUAACCUUGGAACUGCACUUUUAACUACCGGGCUAGAGUACGUCAGAGGGGGGUAGAAUUCCACGUGUAGCAGUGAAAUGCGUAGAGAUGUGGAGGAAUACCGAUGGCGAAGGCAGCCCCCUGGGAUGAUACUGACGCUCAUGCACGAAAGCGUGGGGAGCAAACAGGAUUAGAUACCCUGGUAGUCCACGCCCUAAACGAUGUCAACUAGCUGUUGGGGUUUAUUAACCCAGUAGCGCAGCUACCGCAUGAAGUGACCGCCUGGGA
Molecule: ribosomal RNA, 546 nt
Filed under: Alcaligenes sp. JS2314
Lineage: Bacteria; Pseudomonadati; Pseudomonadota; Betaproteobacteria; Burkholderiales; Alcaligenaceae
Description: bacterial SSU rRNA
Rfam family: Bacterial small subunit ribosomal RNA
Source: RNAcentral